This 494-nucleotide ribosomal RNA is filed under the name Haptophyta environmental samples. RNAcentral's name for it is "SSU rRNA". It matches the Rfam family "Eukaryotic small subunit ribosomal RNA", at positions 451 to 950 of the family's 1831-position model. The record is from RNAcentral. Lineage: Eukaryota; Haptophyta.
CUGACACAGGGAGGUAGUGACAAGAAAUAACGAUACAGGGCUACAUCUAGUCUUGUAAUUGGAAUGAGUACAAUUUACAUCUCUUAACGAUGAUCAAUUGGAGGGCAAGUCUGGUGCCAGCAGCCGCGGUAAUUCCAGCUCCAAUAGCGUAUAUUAAAGUUGUUGCAGUUAGAACGCUCGUAGUCGGAUUUCGGGGCAGUCCGACCGGUCUGCCGAUGGGUAUGCACUGGCCGGAGUGUCCUUUUUGCCGGAGACCGUGCCUACUCUUAACUGAGCGGGGGCGGGAGACGGCACUUUUACUUUGAAAAAUCAGAGUGUUUCAAGCAGGCAGCUCGCUCUUGCAUGGAUUAGCAUGGGAUAAUGAAAUAGGACUUUGGUGCUAUUUUGUUGGUUUCGAACACCGAAGUAAUGAUGAGAAGGGACAGUCAGGGGCACUCGUAUUCCGCAGAGAGAGGUGAAAUUCUCAGACCCGCGGAAGACGAACCACUGCGAAA